GAUGAACGCUAGCUACAGGCUUAACACAUGCAAGUCGAGGGGUAACGAGAGGAAAGCUUGCUUUCCUUGUCGACGACCGGCGCACGGGUGAGUAACGCGUAUCCAACCUGCCCCCAACUAAGGAAUAACCUUGCGAAAGUAAGACUAAUACCUUAUAAUUUCCUCAGAUGUCAUCUGACGAGGAAUAAAGAUUUAUCGGUUGUGGAUGGGGAUGCGUCUGAUUAGCUUGUUGGCGGGGUAACGGCCCACCAAGGCAACGAUCAGUAGGGGUUCUGAGAGGAAGGUACCCCACAUUGGAACUGAGACACGGUCCAAAGUGCUACGGGAGGCAGCAGUGAGGAAUAUUGGUCAAUGGGCGGAAGCCUGAACCAGCCAAGUAGCGUGCAGGAUGACGGCCCUAUGGGUUGUAAAAUGCUUUUAUACAGGAAUAAAGUUAGCCACGUGUGGUUAUUUGUAGGUACUGUAUGAAUAAGGACCGGCUAAUUCCGUGCCAGCAGCCGCCGUAA
This 506-nucleotide ribosomal RNA is filed under the name uncultured bacterium. RNAcentral's name for it is "partial 16S ribosomal RNA". It matches the Rfam family "Bacterial small subunit ribosomal RNA", at positions 28 to 523 of the family's 1533-position model. The record is from RNAcentral.